UGAUAUCGAAUAUGGGAUA
RNAcentral lists this microRNA (19 nucleotides) under Schistosoma mansoni. RNAcentral describes it as "sma-miR-8479-3p". The record is from miRBase by way of RNAcentral. Lineage: Eukaryota; Metazoa; Platyhelminthes; Trematoda; Strigeidida; Schistosomatidae.